RNAcentral lists this ribosomal RNA (499 nucleotides) under uncultured bacterium. Its description in RNAcentral is "partial 16S ribosomal RNA". It matches the Rfam family "Bacterial small subunit ribosomal RNA", at positions 28 to 507 of the family's 1533-position model. The record is from RNAcentral.
GACGAACGCUGGCGGCGUGCCUAAUACAUGCAAGUCGAGCGAAGUUUUUCUGGUGCUUGCCCUAGAAAAACUUAGCGGCGAACGGGUGAGUAACACGUAAAGAACCUGCCUCAUAGACUGGGACAACUAUUGGAAACGAUAGCUAAUACCGGAUAACAGUAUUUCUCGCAUGACAGAUAUUUAAAAGUUGGUUAUGCUAACACUAUGAGAUGGCUUUGCGGUGCAUUAGCUAGUUGGUGGGGUAAAGGCCCACCAAGGCGACGAUGCAUAGCCGACCUGAGAGGGUGAUCGGCCACACUGGGACUGAGACACGGCCCAGACUCCUACGGGAGGCAGCAGUAGGGAAUCUUCCGCAAUGGGCGAAAGCCUGACGGAGCAACGCCGCGUGAGUGAAGAAGGAUUUCGGUUCGUAAAGCUCUGUUGUUAGGGAAGAAUGGAUAUGUAGUAACUAUACAUGUAAGAGACGGUACCUAAACAGAAAGCCACGGCUAACUACGUG